RNAcentral lists this long non-coding RNA (938 nucleotides) under Parus major (Great Tit). RNAcentral's name for it is "lncRNA (ENSPMJG00000017133.1)". The record is from RNAcentral. Lineage: Eukaryota; Metazoa; Chordata; Aves; Passeriformes; Paridae.
AACUUUCCUUUCUUCUACCAAAGAAGAAGCAGUAACUUAUGACAUUGGUUAAAGAUUGAUGGUCAGUCUGAGAGCAUACACUUCCCUGUAAUAAAUUCUCAUAUUGCGGGAGGAACCAUGGCUGAUUGAAAUGUGAUACACUUCUACAUACACAUGCAGAAACCUACAUCCCUAUGAGUGACAUUAACUGGAUCUGCCUGGGAUAGCAGCAUCCUUGUGUUCUGAGGAAGGCACAUCCCAUUCUGUUGUGUGCCUCUUGGACAUCUCCCUAAUUUGAAACAGAAACACCCCCACCCCAUGAAGCUUUUGAAAAUAAUUGAGGCAAAGAAGCUACUACUAAGAGGACACCAUGCUUUAAUGAUUCUAGCUGAAGGAAAAAGUGUAAGAAUUGUGGAAUUGAUGAUAGAAACUGUGUCAGAGAAGGAUGAAGAGCAAACCAGAACUGCUGGUGUUGAAAAUGACUUGCAAUUUAAGUAAGAAGAAAUAUCAAAUAUCUCCCUGAAGCUGAAGAAUUUGGGAAAAUUACAUGUGAGGAGUUAAAAAACUUGGAAAUUACUUAAAAGGUGCAUGAAACACUUGAAAGCAACAAGCCAGCAUCCAAACAAAAGAGGGUUGUCAUCUGGUACUGCUGCUGCCCACUCUUCAAAACAGAAAUCAUUCCUGACUUCAGUGGGUCUGUUUUCCUAGCAGACAAAACAAUUGGUUUUGGAUGCUAAAUUGUUAACCCAAGUCAGCUCUGCUGACCUACAGCUAAUCUUUUCAGUCAGGAGAUUGAAACUUAAACCCAAACUUAGCUCCUUCUGACUAAUCCAAGUGAAUUUAGCACAAAGAUGAUUCCACCUCAUCCACGUGAAUUUGUUUCUGUGCAAAUGUUAUGUUGGGUAUUAUGAGCAGAAAGUGACACAUGUGUUUGUGCCUUCUAAAUAAAAGCCUUUUGU